Hibiscus syriacus is the source of this 321-nucleotide long non-coding RNA. RefSeq lists it as uncharacterized. The record is from RefSeq and is a predicted model, not a curated record. The transcript has 2 exons. NCBI's taxonomy places the organism in Eukaryota, Viridiplantae, Streptophyta, Magnoliopsida, Malvales, Malvaceae.
UUCAAUUAUUAGGGAAAGAAAAAACUAAUACCAGAAGGAAUCACGUUGAAGUUUUUUGGAUGGGUUAUGGUUUUGUUAUGUACAACCACUGUUUCAUGCGGGAAGGUUGAAGGCUUUCCUUUGCUAAAAUCUCGAGCUUUCAAUCUCUCAGGAUCCUUUGUUCAACAACACGACAUCCAUGAUCUCAUCAGGACGGUUAGCUCAGCAAAAAUAGACGACAAAGACGAAUACUACAAGGAAUAUCACAAUUUUUUCAGUCCAAGAAAUCAAAGGGUGGAAAAGGUGCGACCGGUGGUGCAAAUGUCCCCCACCAUCCCAGCA